UAACGCGGUAAGCAACCUGACCUUUUGUGUGUGGAAUAACAACCGGAAACAGUUGCUAAGUACCGCAUAACGCACAGAAAUCGCAUGUUUUUUGUGCCAAAGAUUUAUCGCACAAAGAUGGGCGUUGCGUCCGAUUAGAUAGUUGGCGGGGUAACGGCCCACCAAGUCAACGAUCGGUAGCCGGACUGAGAGGUUGAACGGCCACAUUGGAACUGAGAUACGGUCCAGACUCCUACGGGAGGCAGCAGUGGGGAAUAUUGGGCAAUGGACGAAAGUCUGAACCCCCAGCGACGCCGCGUGAGGGAAGAAGGUCUUCGGAUUGUAAACCUUAGUCAACAGGGACGAAGCAAGUGACGGUACCUGUGGAGGAAGCCACGGCUAACUACGUGCCAGCCGCUGC
Molecule: ribosomal RNA, 400 nt
Filed under: uncultured bacterium
Lineage: Bacteria
Description: bacterial SSU rRNA
Rfam family: Bacterial small subunit ribosomal RNA
Source: RNAcentral